Molecule: long non-coding RNA, 1255 nt
Filed under: Mytilus galloprovincialis (Mediterranean mussel)
Lineage: Eukaryota; Metazoa; Mollusca; Bivalvia; Mytilida; Mytilidae
Source: RNAcentral
UGGAAAGCGAGUUUUGUGGCCCAACUUUAAUUAUUCAUCAUCCAAAAGCACAUUGCUAAAGCUAGCUUCUCAUAUUUUAUUUCAAAAUUAUCUGUUAGAUUUCUUGUAUUCACAAUAAUGUAUUUUUAAAGGAUAAUUUGUUUAAAAUUGGUCAGUUUCGCACAACCUGUAGUUUACUUUAAUGAACCCUGGGUUACAUUUUUCUUAUAUUAAUGAAAAAGCAUGGUAAAGUAUACAUUCUCGCAAAAUAUAAGCAAAUUUUAUUAUACUUCUUAUGUAGACCACCAACUCAUUCAUGUAAUUAUAGAUUAUGGUUCUUAAUUAGGGCCCCACCUUUAGGCGGGUUGCCCUAUAGUGAUCAGUCUGUCCUUCCGUAACACUUUAACUCUUUGUCCGCUCCAUAUCUAGAGAACCAUUAUGAUUUCAUACUUUAAACUUUACAUGUUUAUCAACCACCACCAGAGGGCGUGUCAUGAUGUAUGUACAACUUUCUAGGUCAAAGGUAAAGGUAAAAAAACUUUGGUUUCAGUUGACAACCCCGUGUCCUGUGGUGAAGAUCGUGUCCGCUCCAUAUCUAGAUAACCAUUAUGAUUUUAUACUUAAUACUUUUAUAAACAACACCAGAGGGUGUGUCAUGAUGUAUGUACAACUUCCUAGGUCAAAGGUCAAGGUCAAAAACUUUGGUUUCAGUUGACAACCCCAUGUCCUGUGGUGAAGAUCAUGUCCGCUCCAUAUCUAGAUAACCGUUCUGAUUUCAAAGUUUAUACUUGACAUCCAUUUUAACCACCACCAGAGGGCGUGUCAUGAUGUAUGUUCAACUUCCUAGGUCAAAGGUCAAGGUAAAAAAAACUUUGGUUUCAGUUGACAACCCCGUGUCCUGUGGUGAAGAUCGUGUCCGCUCUAUAUCUUGAGAACCGUUAUGAUUUCAAAUAUUAUACUUGACAUCCAAUUUAACCAACACCAGAGGGUGUGUCCUGAUGUAUGUACAACUUCCUAGGUCAAAGGUCUGUCCAUCGCUAACAAAUUUGAUCCACACUAUAUUUUGAGAGGACAGCUGUUAUUAUUUCAUACUUUAUACCUGACAAACAAUCACAAAUGAGACUAUGUAAUAACUUCAAAUAAUGCUUCAUAUCAGAUUAUCCAUACAACUUGUUUACCCCACGUUAUUGACAGUGGGGCCCACAGAGAUGGCUCCCGUCUCAAUGGCAUCUAGUUCCAAAUGUUUAUGCAGUUUUUUUUUAUAUCUGGUUUAAAU